RNAcentral lists this small RNA (103 nucleotides) under uncultured Limosilactobacillus sp. Its description in RNAcentral is "SMK box translational riboswitch (SAM-III)". It matches the Rfam family "SAM-III riboswitch aptamer (SMK box)". Lineage: Bacteria; Bacillati; Bacillota; Bacilli; Lactobacillales; Lactobacillaceae. The record is from RNAcentral.
UCGUUAUAAAGCAAAUUCCCGAUAGGAUUCGUGGCAACACGAAGAUGCCUUGUAACCGACUAUCUACGCAAUUGAUGCAGAACUAAUGGGGGAAUUACACAUA